GUAACGGCGAGUGAAGCGGCAACAGCUCAAAUUUGAAAUCUGGCUCCCAGCGGGUCCGAGUUGUAAUUUGCAGAGGAUGCUUCAGGCAGAGCGCCUUCCGAGUUCCCUGGAACGGGACGCCGCAGAGGGUGAGAGCCCCGUACGGUAGGUGGCCGAGCCGCUGUGAAGCUCCCUCGAAGAGUCGAGUAGUUUGGGAAUGCUGCUCUAAGCGGGAGGUAUACCUCUUCUAAAGCUAAAUACCGGCCAGAGACCGAUAGCGCACAAGUAGAGUGAUCGAAAGAUGAAAAGCACUUUGGAAAGAGAGUUAAAAAGUACGUGAAAUUGUUGAAAGGGAAGCGCUCAUGACCAGACCUGAGCCUGGUAAAUCAGCCUCCGUUCUCGGUGGUGCACUUUGCCGGCCCAGGCCAGCAUCGGUCUGCCCUCGGGGAGAAGAACAGUGGGAACGUGGCUCCCUGGAGUGUUAUAGCCCUCUGUAGAUGCCCGUCGGCGGACCGAGGUCCGCGCUCUUGCGAGGAUGCUGGCGUAAUGGUCUUCAGCGGCCCGUCUUGAAACACGGACCAAGGAGUCGUCCUGAUAUGCGAGUGUUAGGGUGCAAAACCCCUACGCGGAAUGAAAGUGAACGGAGACGGGAGCUUCUGCGCACCGUCGACCGAUCCUGAAGUUCUCUGAUGGAUUUGAGUAAGAGCAUAUCGGGCCGGACCCGAAAGAAGGUGAUCUAUGCCUGGAUAGGGUGAAGCCAGAGGAAACUCUGGUGGAGGCUCGCAGCGGUUCUGACGUGCAAAUCGAUCGUCAAAUCUGGGCAUGGGGGCGAAAGACUAAUCGAACCUUUUAGUAGCUGGUUUCCGUCGAAGUUUCCCUCAGGAUAGCAGUGUCGAUCUCAGUUUUAUGAGGUAAAGCGAAUGAUUAGGGACUCGGGGGCGCUUUUCAGCCUUCAUCCAUUCUCAAACUUUAAAUAUGUAAGAAGCCCCCGUUGCUUCGGUGAACGUGG
Molecule: ribosomal RNA, 988 nt
Filed under: Haligena elaterophora
Lineage: Eukaryota; Fungi; Ascomycota; Sordariomycetes; Microascales; Halosphaeriaceae
Description: eukaryotic LSU rRNA
Rfam family: Eukaryotic large subunit ribosomal RNA
Source: RNAcentral